Molecule: long non-coding RNA, 744 nt
Organism: Cervus elaphus (red deer)
Lineage: Eukaryota; Metazoa; Chordata; Mammalia; Artiodactyla; Cervidae
Exons: 2
Source: RefSeq, a predicted model, not a curated record
CGCUCAGUCGUGUCCGACUCUCAGCGACCCCGUGGACUGCAGCCUACCAGGCUCCUCCGUCCAUGGGAUUUUCCAGGCAAGAGUACUGGAGUGGGGUACCAUUGCCUUCUCCGAUCUCUGGUACACUGGUGCCCAAAAGGAAAGUGACUUUCUUUAGCUCAUGCAGAAUGUAUAUGACCAGUGACGUAACAGAAACAUGGAGAAGAGAAGAAAUUGUUCAGGGUCAUUUUAGUAGAGAGUAGCGAAUCUGGGAUACUCAUUUCCAAUGGAGACAAUCAGUACGUCAACAGCACCCCACCAUCGGCUGCUUCUUUUGAUGUAAAGUAAGUGGAGGAAUGAAUGGGCACUGGAUUUUUGAAGAAGCUCUCUUAAGAAUAAAAAUAAAGGUAGAAAGUAAAUGAAGAUGGAUGGACGCAAGGAGGAGCCUGAGAGGGGCUCCCAGCCCUUGGGCAGGCAGAGAAGGAGAAGGGGUGAGAGUGGAAGAAUAAAGAAAGGUCCCAGGUGCUGGAAAAGCUGGUGUUAAAGGACAUGCAUGGUUUCCCUCCCUGUGAUUCCCGAGCAGCUCCUAGAAUAGAUCCUGUUGCAUAUUUCUGGUUCUAGGGAGGGGUCAUUUGAAAGAAGGCUUAAUGAUUUCUUGGAGUGUCCUAAAAUCCUGAAAUACCUCCACGAAUCUGAAAUUCUUUUUGAUGACAAAUAUGUCACCUACAGUUAGAGAGAAAAAUAAAUUCUGAUUGAGGGAGGAGA